RNAcentral lists this ribosomal RNA (252 nucleotides) under uncultured bacterium. Its description in RNAcentral is "partial 16S ribosomal RNA". It matches the Rfam family "Bacterial small subunit ribosomal RNA", at positions 524 to 776 of the family's 1533-position model. The record is from RNAcentral.
UACGGGGGGGCAAGCGUUGUUCGGAAUUACUGGGCGUAAAGGGCGCGUAGGCGGCCUGUUAAGUCGAACGUGAAAUCCCCGGGCUCAACCCGGGAACUGCGUCCGAUACUGGCAGGCUUGAAUCCGGGAGAGGGAUGCGGAAUUCCAGGUGUAGCGGUGAAAUGCGUAGAUAUCUGGAGGAACACCGGUGGCGAAGGCGGCAUCCUGGACCGGCAUUGACGCUGAGGCGCGAAAGCCAGGGGAGCAAACGGG